Molecule: ribosomal RNA, 483 nt
Filed under: uncultured bacterium
Lineage: Bacteria
Description: partial 16S ribosomal RNA
Rfam family: Bacterial small subunit ribosomal RNA
Source: RNAcentral
GAUGAACGCUGGCGGCGUGCCUAAUACAUGCAAGUCGAGCGAACCACUUCGGUGGUGAGCGGCGAACGGGUGAGUAACACGUAGGUGAUCUGCCCAUCAGACGGGGACAACGAUUGGAAACGAUCGCUAAUACCGGAUAGGACGAAAGUUUAAAGGUGCUUCUGGCACCGCUGAUGGAUGAGCCUGCGGCGCAUUAGCGAGUUGGUAGGGUAAAGGCCUACCAAGGCGACGAUGCGUAGCCGACCUGAGAGGGUGAACGGCCACACUGGGACUGAGACACGGCCCAGACUCCUACGGGAGGCAGCAGUAGGGAAUCUUCGGCAAUGGGCGAAAGCCUGACCGAGCAACGCCGCGUGAAUGAUGAAGGCCUUCGGGUUGUAAAAUUCUGUCAUAAGGGAAGAACGACUUUAGUAGGAAAUGGCUAGAGUGUGACGGUACCUUAUGAGAAAGCCACGGCUAACUACGUGCCAGCCGCCGCAGUAA